Molecule: ribosomal RNA, 497 nt
Filed under: uncultured bacterium
Lineage: Bacteria
Description: partial 16S ribosomal RNA
Rfam family: Bacterial small subunit ribosomal RNA
Source: RNAcentral
GAUGAACGCUGGCGGCGUGCCUAAUACAUGCAAGUCGAGCGAACGGACGAGAAGCUUGCUUCUCUGAUGUUAGCGGCGGACGGGUGAGUAACACGUGGAUAACCUACCUAUAAGACUGGGAUAACUUCGGGAAACCGGAGCUAAUACCGGAUGAUAUUUUGAACCGCAUGGUUCAAAAGUGAAAGACGGUCUUGCUGUCACUUAUAGAUGGAUCCGCGCUGCAUUAGCUAGUUGGUAAGGUAACGGCUCACCAAGGCAACGAUGCAUAGCCGACCUGAGAGGGUGAUCGGCAACACUGGAACGGAGACACGGCCCAGACUCCUACGGGAGGCAGCAGUGGGGAAUCUUCCGCAAUGGGCGAAAGCCUGACGGAGCAACGCCGCGUGGGUGAUGAAGGUCUUCGGAUCGUAAAACUCUGUUAUUAGGGAAGAACAUAUGUGUAAGUAACUGUGCACAUCUUGACGGUACCUAAUCAGAAAGCCACGGCUAACUACGUG